AACGAACGCUGGCGGCAGGCUUAACACAUGCAAGUCGAACGCCCCGCAAGGGGAGUGGCAGACGGGUGAGUAACGCGUGGGAAUCUACCCAGUUCUACGGAACAACUGAGGGAAACUUCAGCUAAUACCGUAUACGCCCUACGGGGGAAAGAUCUAUCUGAAUUGGAUGAGCCCGCGUUGGAUUAGCUGGUUGGUGAGGUAACGGCUCACCAAGGCGACGAACCAUAGCUGGUCUGAGAGGAUGAUCAGCCACACUGGGACUGAGACACGGCCCAGACUCCUACGGGAGGCAGCAGUGGGGAAUAUUGGACAAUGGGCGCAAGCCUGAUCCAGCCAUGCCGCGUGAGUGAUGAAGGCCUUAGGGUUGUAAAGCUCUUUCAGUGGGGACGAUAAUGACGGUACCCACAGAAGAAGCCCCGGCUAACUUCGUGCCAGCCGCCGCAGUAA
Molecule: ribosomal RNA, 447 nt
Filed under: uncultured bacterium
Lineage: Bacteria
Description: partial 16S ribosomal RNA
Rfam family: Bacterial small subunit ribosomal RNA
Source: RNAcentral